Tympanuchus pallidicinctus (lesser prairie-chicken) is the source of this 3307-nucleotide long non-coding RNA. RefSeq lists it as uncharacterized. The transcript is spliced from 3 exons. The record is from RefSeq and is a predicted model, not a curated record. Lineage: Eukaryota; Metazoa; Chordata; Aves; Galliformes; Phasianidae.
CGGCCCCGCAGCCGCCCCGGCUGGGCGCAGGCAGGGCCACUCCGCCCCGCCCCGCCCCCACCGUGCAGUGUGAGGGCGCGAGGCGCCGCGGCUCCUCAGCGAGUCAGCGCCGCUCCCUUCCCGCCUGUGUGUGACGCAGUGAAGAGUUUCUUUCGAAAUCCGAAAGAAAAGCGAUAAUCCGACCAACUGGGAAACAGUGGCACUGGGAAACAAGGAUCUAGUUUGCUAGAUCGCUGGGAAGACUUGUGGAUUUCAAAUGCAGGCUUGGCAUUGCUCAGCCUUUUCUCCUCUGCAGCUCUGUUGAGUAUUAGCGCCACGACCGGGUUUUUUAUGACGUGCUUUUAAUGGAGACGGUGUUAAUUGUGGAAGUAGCGGUGUUCAAAAAGCAGUCUUAUGUUAUUCCAACAAGAAGAUGGUUUUUCUUCUUCCGCGCUCAGUCCCCUCAGGCCUUUAACCGAGAUGAUCUUUUAACGUCUUAACAGUGACGCUCAGAGAGCGGUUUCUCAGUCCCUUGACAGACAGAGCGCGCAGCCUUUGCGAACACGAGCGCAGCGUUAACAGAACAGCGCGCCAUUGCCCGCGCCUCAGCUGCUCUCUGCCAUCUGGUGGAUACGCGGAGUCACUGCUUCGAUACUUCCCAUUUCCACAAAGGAAGCGAUGUUCUGAAUAACUAAGCCGGUAUCGCACAACCGCAGGGUGGCUGAGGCUGGCAGGGCUCUCUGCCCACCUGGCCCAGCUCUGCCCCAGCAGCGUGCUCAGAGCCGUGGCCAGGCGGCUUCUGGACAUCUCCAAGGAGGCGACCCCGCAGCUCCUGGGUAGCCUGUGCCUGUGCUCCAUCACCUGCACAGCACAGAAGUGAUGUCUGGUGGUUAGACAGAACCUCCUGUGUGCCAGUUUGUGCCCAGUGCCCCUUGUUCUGCUGCUUUCUACCUGAGAGGCCCCAGCCUGUCCUGGGUUUGGCCCUUCUCCUUGUUGCGCAUGAAGCGGUCCUUUUACAGAGGAGCUGUUGAAGAAAGCGUGAGAUCUCACAAGAAAAACACUGUUUACAUAUGAAAACUUACAUCAAAAUCUCUCGUGCAUCUUACCAGCUAAUUUGCAGCCUAGUGAACAUUUGACCCACGGAGGUUUAUAAAAAUGAACAGGCUAGUUACACCAUACACAUUCAUUCCGCAACAACGUAUGCACCACAGAUACUGUUCUCUGUUUAGAUUCAGAACAGAAGCACAAUUUCAAAGCAGUGCAGACUGUAUGGCAACUGCUGAAUUACAGCCUGAACCUCUGAUUGACCCACCUGAGACGAGCACUGAGUCAGCCACAGGAGCACAGGUGAAGGCAAUUCAGCUGUGUGCCGGAAGGGGGGGAGCCUGGCUACACCUCUCCUAGACCUGUUUAAGAGCUGGCUGCCAGUGUGAAAGGGUCUGUUUUUGGAGAUCCCUCAGUUUGAAGUUUUCCAGUGAGCCCAGGACAAGGGUAAGCUCUUUGUCUAUUCUUUUUUGGUGUAAUAACCUGCUUAGCCACACUCUCUUGUAUAUUUCUUAGUUAUAGCAUCUGUGCAUUCAUUGAUUAUACAGCAGACCAAUCUGGAAUACAUGGCAUAUCUCCUGUGGCAGCAUGUAGUAAGAAGAAAAGACUGAUAGAAUGUUAGGACUGCUCAGCAUUUAGUGCUUCAUUCCUUGCUGCAGUAAGUCUUUAAACACAGCUCACGUUUGCUGGUGAGGAUGUGGAUGCAACUGACCGCAGUUGGGAUCUUUCUUCAAAUCAUCAUUCUGCAGCUUGGUGACUAUUUUUAAACUCAAGAUGUAUGUAAUGAUUCUUUCAAAAAGGAGCUUUUUACAUUUAAUUGUACAUGAAUUCAUAUAGGGUAGAAUCAGAACCUAAGAUUUAUCUUGUUUAUUUUGCAUUCUUUUGCAUUUUUGAAGACAGGUUGCAGAGAGCAGCCUGAAAACACACAGCAAAUAUUUUUCCCAAGGAUUGCAGCUGACGAAACACAGUUAUGACUUAGUGCCACAUGGCUGACUGCAUACUUGAUAAAAGAAGUCUGCAUGUUUAACAAGUCUCUCUCCCAUUCUACUUUUCUGGUGCCUAAUACUGCAUGGACUUUAUUGGCCUCCAUGCCUCCAGUUAUCAGCAUUACCUUGUGUCUUUUAAUGUAAGGCCUCCUUCCUUAUCUUUUCAACCUCUGCUCUCUGACAAAGUUCUCAGGUGUGGUCAGACCUUCAAGCACACAGUGUGACUGGACAGGACUCCUUCCUGUUAAGAAACUCAUCAAUUGUGCUUGGGUCUUGCACGCUGCAGGAGUGUGAGUGUAGAGAGAAGGCUUAGCCACAAGGGGGUUUGCUCUGAAAUGUUUAAAAGGAGGCUGAUACAAGCAAACCAGCCUCGAGGAGAAAGCUCAACCCUUUGGAAGAACUAAAGGAGUUUGUCCUUGUAGCAAGUCAGAGCUGCAUCACUGUUUUCUGUUCACCAGAAGGCAUUUUAGACUUGCUUUGUGCAAUACCUUCACGGGAGCACAUGGCUUCCUGUUUUUGUGCAAGAACUUCAUCCCUGUUUGAAGCUGGAUUUAAAACAUGGUUCAGUGGUUCAGAUCAGAAUGAGAUCUUUUACAGAACAAAUCAUGAUUAUGAUUUGAAGAUGAAACAGUCUUCCCACAAGUGAAAUAUGGGAGGGACUGCUCCUGGAGCUUGUUAACAUGGGAAGGAUGUACCCAAAGGCAUGUAGAGAAACAAUGGGAAAGGCUGAAAAUAGAAGGUAGACCUUAUAAACUUGUUCAGGUCAUGACAUCUCCCUAGACAAAAUCUCUGGAAGACACAGGUGUACCUAGAAAUGAGAACCACAAACAGCUGGGUUCCAGUGCUGUCACAGAAGUUACAUGCACACAACUUCACCUGCUCACAUGCAGCACAAGCACUGCUUGCUGUCAGGAGAUCACAGCACAUGAAUAAUGAGUGAGGGGACCCUGAUACAACCCUAAGACUGAUGGCUAUGAGAGAUGAGGGGGGCUGAGGAUUUUUGAGCAAUUUCACCCCACUGAACUCUAGAAUUUGGACUAAAUCUGCAUCUGACAAAUUUGUUUUUGAACACUACACAUUUUUCUUCUAUUAUGAAUGAUGUAUGUUGUUUUGAAUCUAAUCAGUAUUUCAGUAUUACCUGUAUCUUAUUCAAGUGGAUGAGUAAAGACUUAGAAUGAUGAGUUAUUAGCAAAGAAAAGAACUAUUCAUAAAUAGUAUGUAUUAGCUAUAUAAAACCAAACCAAAUGCUGUUAAGUUAAUCUAAUAUGAAUGAGUACAUUUAUGAUCACUUUGUGAAA